RNAcentral lists this ribosomal RNA (301 nucleotides) under uncultured bacterium. Its description in RNAcentral is "partial 16S ribosomal RNA". It matches the Rfam family "Bacterial small subunit ribosomal RNA", at positions 509 to 807 of the family's 1533-position model. The record is from RNAcentral.
CAGCCGCCGCGGGAAUACGAAGGGGGCUAGCGUUGCUCGGAAUGACUGGGCGUAAAGGGCGCGUAGGCGGUUUUGACAGUCAGAUGUGAAAUUCCUGGGCUUAACCUGGGGGCUGCAUUUGAGACGUCAAGACUAGAGUGUGAGAGAGGGUUGUGGAAUUCCCAGUGUAGAGGUGAAAUUCGUAGAUAUUGGGAAGAACACCGGUGGCGAAGGCGGCAACCUGGCUCAUUACUGCCGCUGAGGCGCGAAAGCGUGGGGAGCAAACAGGAUUAGAUACCCCCGUAGUCCCUGUCUCUUAUAC